RNAcentral lists this ribosomal RNA (538 nucleotides) under Streptomyces aureus. RNAcentral describes it as "bacterial SSU rRNA". It matches the Rfam family "Bacterial small subunit ribosomal RNA", at positions 93 to 645 of the family's 1533-position model. RNAcentral also lists the same sequence under 1 other name. The record is from RNAcentral. Lineage: Bacteria; Bacillati; Actinomycetota; Actinomycetes; Kitasatosporales; Streptomycetaceae.
UAGUGGCGAACGGGUGAGUAACACGUGGGCAAUCUGCCCUUCACUCUGGGACAAGCCCUGGAAACGGGGUCUAAUACCGGAUAACACUCCUGCCUGCAUGGGUGGGGGUUAAAAGCUCCGGCGGUGAAGGAUGAGCCCGCGGCCUAUCAGCUUGUUGGUGAGGUAGUGGCUCACCAAGGCGACGACGGGUAGCCGGCCUGAGAGGGCGACCGGCCACACUGGGACUGAGACACGGCCCAGACUCCUACGGGAGGCAGCAGUGGGGAAUAUUGCACAAUGGGCGAAAGCCUGAUGCAGCGACGCCGCGUGAGGGAUGACGGCCUUCGGGUUGUAAACCUCUUUCAGCAGGGAAGAAGCGAAAGUGACGGUACCUGCAGAAGAAGCGCCGGCUAACUACGUGCCAGCAGCCGCGGUAAUACGUAGGGCGCAAGCGUUGUCCGGAAUUAUUGGGCGUAAAGAGCUCGUAGGCGGCUUGUCACGUCGGUUGUGAAAGCCCGGGGCUUAACCCCGGGUCUGCAGUCGAUACGGGCAGGCUAGA